This 485-nucleotide ribosomal RNA is filed under the name uncultured bacterium. RNAcentral's name for it is "bacterial SSU rRNA". It matches the Rfam family "Bacterial small subunit ribosomal RNA", at positions 29 to 524 of the family's 1533-position model. The record is from RNAcentral.
AAUGAACGCUGGCGGCGUGCUUAACACAUGCAAGUCGAACGGACUGCGAGGAGCUUGCUCCUCAAAGUUAGUGGCGGACGGGUGAGUAACGCGUGGGUAACCUGCCCUAUGCAGGGGGAUAACGUUUGGAAACGAACGCUAAUACCGCAUAAUAUAAUUGGUUCGCAUGAACUGAUUAUCAAAGAUUUUAUCGGCAUAGGAUGGACCCGCGUUGGAUUAGCUAGUUGGUGAGAUAACAGCCCACCAAGGCAACGAUCCAUAGCCGGCCUGAGAGGGUGAACGGCCACACUGGGACUGAGACACGGCCCAGACUCCUACGGGAGGCAGCAGUGGGGAAUAUUGCACAAUGGGCGAAAGCCUGAUGCAGCGACGCCGCGUGAAGGAUGAAGGUCUUCGGAUCGUAAACUUCUAUCAGCAGGGAAGAAUACCAUGACGGUACCUGACUAAGAAGCCCCGGCUAACUACGUGCCAGCAGCCGCGGUAAU